UGGUCCAGACUUUGAUCAUGGCUCAGGACGAACGCUGGCGGCGUGCCUAACACAUGCAAGUCGAACGGAGCUCCGCCCUUCGGGACGGAACUUAGUGGCGAACGGGUGAGUAACGCGUGAAGAACCUGCCUUCCAGUGGGGGACAACAGUUGGAAACGACUGCUAAUACCGCAUGAUACUUUUGAGGGGCAUCCCUUGAAAGUCAAAGCUUUAAGUGCUGGAAGAUGGCUCCGCGUCUGAUUAGCUAGUUGGUGGGGUAACGGCCCACCAAGGCGACGAUCAGUAGCCGGUCUGAGAGGAUGAACGGCCACAUUGGGACUGAGAUACGGCCCAGACUCCUACGGGAGGCAGCAGUGGGGAAUAUUGGGCAAUGGGGGAAACCCUGACCCAGCAACGCCGCGUGAAGGAAGAAGGCCUUCGGGUUGUAAACUUCUUUUACCAGGGACGAAGGACGUGACGGUACCUGGAGAAAAAGCAACGGCUAACUACGUGCCAGCAGCCGCGGUAAUACGUAGGUUGCAAGCGUUGUCCGGAUUUACUGGGUGUAAAGGGCGUGCAGGCGGAGGCGCAAGUUGGGAGUGAAAUCUAUGGGCUCAACCCAUAAACUGCUCUCAAAACUGUGUCCCUUGAGUAUCGGAGAGGCAAGCGGAAUUCCUAGUGUAGCGGUGAAAUGCGUAGAUAUUAGGAGGAACACCAGUGGCGAAGGCGGCUUGCUGGACGACAACUGACGCUGAGGCGCGAAAGCGUGGGGAGCAAACAGGAUUAGAUACCCUGGUAGUCCACGCUGUAAACGAUGAAUACUAGGUGUGGGAGGACUGACCCCUUCCGUGCCGCAGUUAACACAAUAAGUAUUCCACCUGGGGAGUACGACCGCAAGGUUGCAACUCAAAUGAAUUGACGGA
Molecule: ribosomal RNA, 902 nt
Filed under: uncultured Bacillota bacterium
Lineage: Bacteria; Bacillati; Bacillota
Description: bacterial SSU rRNA
Rfam family: Bacterial small subunit ribosomal RNA
Source: RNAcentral